Molecule: unclassified non-coding RNA, 529 nt
Filed under: soil metagenome
Description: partial contains internal transcribed spacer 1, 5.8S ribosomal RNA, and internal transcribed spacer 2
Rfam family: 5.8S ribosomal RNA (bases 72-220)
Source: RNAcentral
UUGAUUUUAGUUAUUUGUGAACGUACUACGAACAAACAAAAAAAUAUUAUAGUCAAAAAAAAUUAAAUCAAAACUUUUAACAAUGGAUCUCUUGGUUCUCGUAUCGAUGAAGAACGCAGCGAAACGCGAUAUUUCUUGUGAAUUGCAGAAGUGAAUCAUCAGUUUUUGAACGCACAUUGCACUUUGGGGUAUCCCCCAAAGUAUACUUGUUUGAGCGUUGUUUCUCUCUUGGAAUUGCAUUUGCUUUUCUAAAAAAUCGAAUCAAAUUCGUUUGAAACUUCAUUUAUUUCAACCUCAGAUCAAGUAGGAUUACCCGCUGAACUUAAGCAUAUCAAUAAGCGGAGGACGCGUACUUGGUCAUUUAGAGGAAGUAAAAGUCGUAACAAGGUUUCCGUAGGUGAACCUGCGGAAGGAUCAUUAUUGAUUGGUCGAAAGACCUUAUCAGAUUCUACCACCUCUGUGAACCGUUGACCUCCGGGUUAAUAAUCAAACAUCAGUGUAACGAACGUAAGAGUAUCUUAAUUAAACA